UGGCGGACGGGUGAGUAAUGUCUGGGAAACUGCCUGGUGGAGGGGGAUAACUACUGGAAACGGUAGCUAAUACCGCAUAACGUCGCAAGACCAAAGAGGGGGACCUUAGGGCCUCUUGCCAUCGGAUGUGCCCAGAUGGGAUUAGCUAGUAGGUGGGGGAAGGGCUCACCUAGGCGACGAUCCCUAGCUGGUCUGAGAGGAUGACCAGCCACACUGGAACUGAGACACGGUCCAG
RNAcentral lists this ribosomal RNA (235 nucleotides) under uncultured bacterium. RNAcentral describes it as "partial 16S ribosomal RNA". It matches the Rfam family "Bacterial small subunit ribosomal RNA", at positions 96 to 334 of the family's 1533-position model. The record is from RNAcentral.